CAUGAUCUAUCUGCUGCGGGCAAAUGAAAUGAAUAUGUGUAUCGAUGCCACCGGCUGUGGCAAUGAGGCCUGCGCCGCCAUGCACUUCGGUAGCUGCGCCAAUGAUCAUAUUGGCAUCCACCCCAUCCAUAGUGUCGGGAUUGCCGGCUUUACCAAUGCCAACGAUCUUCCCGUCUUUAAUGCCAAUGUCGGCUUUUACAAUGCCCCAGUGGUCAAUGAUCAUUACGUUGGUGAUCACCAGGUCCAGCACACCUUCAUUACGCGUUGCCCGGGCCGAUUGGGCCAUGCCAUCGCGAAUG
This 299-nucleotide small RNA is filed under the name Niastella vici. RNAcentral describes it as "5' ureB small RNA". It matches the Rfam family "5' ureB small RNA". The record is from Rfam by way of RNAcentral. Lineage: Bacteria; Pseudomonadati; Bacteroidota; Chitinophagia; Chitinophagales; Chitinophagaceae.